GAAGCGGUAACAGCUCAAAUUUGAAAGCUAGCUCUUUUAGGGUUCGCAUUGUAAUUUGUAGAAGAUGCUUCGGGUGUGGCCCCGGUCUAAGUUCCUUGGAACAGGACGUCAUAGAGGGUGAGAAUCCCGUAUGUGACUGGGUGCUUUCGCUCAUGUGAAGCUCUUUCGACGAGUCGAGUUGUUUGGGAAUGCAGCUCAAAAUGGGUGGUAAAUUUCAUCUAAAGCUAAAUAUUGGCCAGAGACCGAUAGCGCACAAGUAGAGUGAUCGAAAGAUGAAAAGCACUUUGGAAAGAGAGUUAAACAGUACGUGAAAUUGUUGAAAGGGAAGCGCUUGCAACCAGACUUGCGCGCUGAUGAUCAUCCGGGCUUCUGCCCGGUGCACUCGUCUGCGCUCAGGCCAGCAUCGGUUUCGGUGGUGGGAUAAAGGCCUUGGGAAUGUAGCUUCUUUCGGGGAGUGUUAUAGCCCUCGGUGCAAUGCCGCCUACCGGGACCGAGGACCGCGCUUCGGCUAGGAUGCUGGCGUAAUGGUUGUAAGCGACCCGUCUUGAAACACGGACCAAGGAGUCUAACAUCUAUGCGAGUGUUUGGGUGUCAAACCCAUACGCGUAAUGAAAGUGAACGGAGGUGAGAACCCUUAAGGGUGCAUCAUCGACCGAUCCUGAUGUCUUCGGAUGGAUUUGAGUAAGAGCAUAGCUGUUGGGACCCGAAAGAUGGUGAACUAUGCGUGAAUAGGGUGAAGCCAGAGGAAACUCUGGUGGAGGCUCGCAGCGGUUCUGACGUGCAAAUCGAUCGUCAAAUUU
RNAcentral lists this ribosomal RNA (800 nucleotides) under Cadophora sp. RNAcentral describes it as "partial large subunit ribosomal RNA". It matches the Rfam family "Eukaryotic large subunit ribosomal RNA", at positions 95 to 912 of the family's 3401-position model. Lineage: Eukaryota; Fungi; Ascomycota; Leotiomycetes; Helotiales; Ploettnerulaceae. The record is from RNAcentral.